AGUGAAUAGAUACCCAGGUAGUCCACGCCCUAAACGAUGUCUACUAGUUGUUGGUGGAGUAAAAUCCAUUAGUAAACGCAGCUAAACGCGUGAAGUAGACCGCCUGGGGAGUACGGUCGCAAGAUUAAAAACUCAAAGGAAUUGACGGGGGCCCGCACAAGCGGUGGAUUAUGUGGAUUAAAUUCGAUGCAACGCGAAAAACCUUACCUGGCCUUGACAUGCCACUAACGAAGCAGAGAUGCAUUAGGUGCCCGAAAGGGAAAGUGGACACAGGUGCUGCAUGGCUGUCGUCAGCUCGUGUCGUGAGAUGUUGGGUUAAGUCCCGCAACGAGCGCAACCCUUGCCAAUAAUUGCCAUCAUUAGUUGGCACUUAUUGGACUGCCGGUGACAAACCGGAGGAAGUGGGGAUGACGUCAAGUCCUCAUGGCCCUUAUGGCCAGGGCUUCACACGUAAUACAAUGGUCGGUACAGAGGGUUGCCAACCCGCGAGGGGUAGCCAAUCCCAGAAAGCCGAUCGUAGUCCGGA
RNAcentral lists this ribosomal RNA (526 nucleotides) under uncultured bacterium. RNAcentral describes it as "bacterial SSU rRNA". It matches the Rfam family "Bacterial small subunit ribosomal RNA", at positions 773 to 1297 of the family's 1533-position model. The record is from RNAcentral.